This 56-nucleotide non-coding RNA is filed under the name Alexandrium minutum. The record is from RNAcentral. Lineage: Eukaryota; Dinophyceae; Gonyaulacales; Pyrocystaceae.
UUUUUUUUUUUUUUUUUUUUUUUUUUUUUUUUUUUUUUUUUACAUUCACCAUCUCU